GUUCCCUGCUGACAAGUGCAAAACAAAGCACGACCGUGAAAAGUGGAUUGGAGGUGAAAAUACUUGAUGGAAGCCCACACUAGUGAGAAAACUCAGGAAGCGGCUCCUGCGGAAAGAUUAAACCUAGUCUUACUUCUCCGUGCUCCAGAGUUGAGGUGGAGAGCAGAAUUGAGACAGAUUAUGAAUGUAAGCCUAACCCCACCCAAAUCAAGAAGUAGCACGUUAUCUGUGUCCCAGAAGUCUGCCUUGUGGCCCCUCCCUAGCGGUCAUCCCUGUCCUGAUUUCUACCAUCACAGAACCAGCAAACAUUCCAGUAUGUUCUCUGCCAAAGGGGAGGGACUCUGCAAUUUUGUCAAGAUGAUGCUACGACAAUAAGAUGGAACAUUCCACCUCCAGUUAUUAAUUACCUGGCAUAUUUCACAAAACUGAUCAACUUUGCCUGGCAAGGUAAGGUAAUGAAAUUUUGCUUUUUUUUGUCUUUACGAAGCCAGAAACAGUAAUUGCAUAGAAGAAA
This 514-nucleotide long non-coding RNA is filed under the name Phocoena sinus (vaquita). Its description in RNAcentral is "lncRNA (ENSPSNG00000021277.1)". The record is from RNAcentral. Lineage: Eukaryota; Metazoa; Chordata; Mammalia; Artiodactyla; Phocoenidae.